CAAUAAAAAAUAGAAAAGGGUUUACUGAUCUAGUAAUCAUAUGAAGAUCAACAAGAAAAAAUAGAAAAGGUUUUGCUGAUCUAGUAAUCACAUGAAGAUCAACAAGAAAAUCGCUAUUUUUUUUCCUGUCGCUCGCGAUUAGGAACCAAUUGUUUGCUUCUCCUUCAAAAAGUGGAUUUUUUCUCUCCCGUUUUAAUGACCAAAAUGGGUGGAUCAUCUCACAGAGAAUCAUAUUGAGAGUCUGAAGACCUAGAUGCAAGCCAUGAUUGAGCACUUGGAGGGUAAUGGUCAGGAUUCAGUGGGAUUCAGUGCAAAUCAGCAACUUUGAGGCACCGGGUUGUAAUGUCUCAUCGUUACAAUAAAACAAAUGCUAUUUGGUAAUGCUGGGCAGUGGCAGUCCUAAAAUAAGUAGAGUUUACUUAGCGUGCUGUGCUGACGUUGAAGGAUGCCUGCGAUUCCUUGAGGAAGGAUUAAUAAUAACAAAACUGAAAUUACAGUGAAGUUUAGUUUUAAUAAAGUCAGAUGGCAUGUUUAGAGUUUUGUCUAUUAAAGAAAAAGGUAUAUAAGGAAGAUCAAUUAUCGAGAAGCAGAUGUCAGUUUUUGUAAGAUAUUCAGCAACCUGAGGAUGAAACCCCCUGAGGUUUGAAAUUUAAAGGACAAAAACCUCUUAAUUUACAUCACCAAGUUAGUGGAUGAAAACCCCUGAUUCAGACAGACUCAGACAUUUCAAAGGCAUUUAAAUAAAGAGAGAUCACUGCAUAUCGGAGGAAGAUUUACAGCAGAGAUAAGAGGAUAAGUUCUAUAUUUUCUGAGAUACAUUUUAAGAUUCAAUAUAUUUAAAGAAAACAAGAAAUUUUUUAA
Long non-coding RNA from Cryptomeria japonica (Japanese cedar), 861 nucleotides. RefSeq lists it as uncharacterized. The record is from RefSeq and is a predicted model, not a curated record. The transcript has 2 exons. Lineage: Eukaryota; Viridiplantae; Streptophyta; Pinopsida; Cupressales; Cupressaceae.